UGCCUACGGGCGGCUGCAGUGGGGAAUAUUGCACAAUGGGCGAAAGCCUGAUGCAGCAACGCCGCGUGAGUGAUGAAGGCCUUCGGGUCGUAAAGCUCUUUGAUCAGGGAUGAUAAUGACAGUACCUGAAAAACAAGCCACGGCUAACUACGUGCCAGCAGCCGCGGUAAUACGUAGGUGGCGAGCGUUGUCCGGAAUUACUGGGCGUAAAGGAUGCGUAGGUGGAUACUUAAGUGGGAUGUGAAAUCCCCGGGCUCAACCCGGGAACUGCAUUCCAAACUGGGUAUCUAGAGUGCAGGAGAGGAAAGCGGAAUUCCUAGUGUAGCGGUGAAAUGCGUAGAUAUUAGGAGGAACACCAGUGGCGAAGGCGGCUUUCUGGACUGUAACUGACACUGAGGCAUGAAAGCGUGGGUAGCAAACAGGAUUAGAUACCCUAGUAGUC
This 442-nucleotide ribosomal RNA is filed under the name uncultured Proteiniclasticum sp. RNAcentral describes it as "bacterial SSU rRNA". It matches the Rfam family "Bacterial small subunit ribosomal RNA", at positions 335 to 795 of the family's 1533-position model. The record is from RNAcentral. Lineage: Bacteria; Bacillati; Bacillota; Clostridia; Eubacteriales; Clostridiaceae.